Molecule: ribosomal RNA, 497 nt
Filed under: uncultured bacterium
Lineage: Bacteria
Description: partial 16S ribosomal RNA
Rfam family: Bacterial small subunit ribosomal RNA
Source: RNAcentral
GACGAACGCUGGCGGCGUGCUUAACACAUGCAAGUCGAACGGUGAGGCGCGUUCCUUUUUUUUGGGUUGGUAGGAGUGGCGAAGGGAGUAGUAAGACGUUAGUAACCUUCUCCCUCUGUCUGGAUAACCGCAUGAAAGUGUUGCUAAUAGGGGAUAUUCUGAGUCUGUCGGUUGAUGGGUCUGGGAAAGAUUUUGUUUCGGUGAGGGAUGGGUUCGCGCUGUAUUAGCUUGUUGGUAGGGUGAUGGCGUACCAAGGCGGCGAUGCAUAGCCGCCCUGAGAGGGGGGUGGACGGCACCAGUGGGGAUGCGCGACCGACACGCCUACUGCAGGCGGCAGUAGUGGGGAUUAUUGAACAAUGGGAGGCAGGCUGAAGCAGCGCCGCGGCGUGAGUGAUGGAGGCCUUCGGGUUGUGAACCUCUUUCGCCAGUGAAGAAGGCCUGACUUGUUUGUGGGUAGGUUGACGGUACCUGAACAAGAAGCGCCGGCUAACUACGUG